CUUUUUGACCUUUCCUUAAAACCUUUGGUUCAACGUUCUCCGACCUCUCUGAUCUUCAUCUGAGAUUCACGGCUCUUGAGCAGUGCUUUACCGACACAAUUCAUUGACCUUCAGCAUCCAGCCAGCCCUGCAUUGACCUUCGGCGUCCAGCCCUGCAUUGACCUUCGGCGUC
This is a non-coding RNA of Paralichthys olivaceus (Japanese flounder), 172 nucleotides long. NCBI's taxonomy places the organism in Eukaryota, Metazoa, Chordata, Actinopteri, Pleuronectiformes, Paralichthyidae. The record is from RefSeq and is a predicted model, not a curated record.